UAUAUAUAUAUAUAUAGUACACUAAUUUUUAAAAUUAAUAACACCUAUACAUAAAAUUAAAAACUAAAUUCAUGGUUAACCCAAUUCCAAUAACUCUCUAACCUUCACUUAGAAAUUUUAUCGAACAGUUGAUAGGCGGGACAACCAAUCUCCAACUCUACUUGAGGUUGAUAGCCUCCCAACAUAAACCUCAAAAGACAUUUGUACUCUGCAAAUAAAGAAAAUGAAUGAAUGACAUUAAUAACAUAUAUAAAUAGUCGAAUUCAAUGAUCUUGAGCCACAAAACUUGUAUGUUUUUGACUUCCGUAUUAAAUAAAUACUUUUAGUUUCCUCUCACUAAUAACAUGGAUUACAACAAAGUUUGUAAUUCAAGUGUUUAAUUCUAUUCAGAUUCUGAAAGCAAAUAAUGGCUUUACGCAAGGAAUUUGAUGUAAUAUAUUAUUCAUGCAUUCUGAAUUUAUUUUUAAGAAAAAUACUGAAAAACAUGUUUACCAAAGAAUAUGAAUAGUUUCAGGUGUGCUUGGAAAUAUCCAUAAAAAAUAUGAACAAUAGAUUCCUAUUAAUAUAUAUGAAAUUAGUCUUAGAAACUGAAUCUAAAACCCUAAUCAAGAGUAAUAUUGUGUUAAGAUAACUAAUAAGAGAACUUAAUUAAGAAAAUAAGUGGAAAGAUUCCUAGUAUGCACAUGAAUUUUGAGUAACAGAGUAAGAGUAAUUUCCACUAAAUUAUUAAUCAUAAAAUUGAGAAAAACACACUAAAAUAAACCGGCGUGAAGUAAAUAAAUAUAAGAAAUAGCACCUUUUGGAAUUGUAAUACUAUGAAAUGGAAACCGAAGAGUUUUGGAAUUGUAAUUCUUCCCUCGUAUUUAAUGCGUCAAAGUUAUUUUAGAUUCGACGGAAUUUCGUCGGAGAUAAGUCAGUCAGAAAUUAGAAAAGAUCGACGAAUAUUGUGACGGAACUUAUCUCUGACGUGUGUAUAUAUAACCGAAUAUCCGAUGGAUACUUCAGUCGGAAAUAACUUAUCUUCGACGAAAUAGUCUUAUUUUCGAGGGAAUAUUUCGUCGAAAAUAAGGCUUUUUCUUGUAGUGUACAUAAAAUUAAAAACUAAAUUCAUGGUUAAUCCAAUUCCAAUAACUCUCUAACCUUCAAUUAAAAAUUUCAUCGAACAUUUGAUAGGCGGGACAACCAAUCUCCAUCUCCACUUGAGGUUGAUAACCUCCCAACAUGCAUAAACCUUAAAAGACAUUUGUGCUCUACAAAUAAAGAAAAUGAAUUAUUGACACUAAUAAUAUAGAUUCAGUGACCUAGAGCCACAAAACUCGUAUGUUUUUGACUUCCGUAUUACAUAUAUACUUUUAGUUUCCUCUCACUAAUAGCAUAAAUUACAACAAAGUUUGUAAUUCAAGUGUUUAAUUAGAUUUCAAAUUCAUUGUUUCAUUUAAUUAUUUAUGACAUGAAACAUUAUCCCUUAUGUAUGUAUUACAUCUACAUAUAUAACAUUUAACUGAGAUAGUAAAACACAAUCUCUCACUCUAUCUCUCACUCUGUAUGUGAGUAUUUUUGCUCGAGUGUGUGGAUGAAGAUAUUACAAUUCUAUAGUAAAGUAUAUAAAUGAGAUUAGUUUUUGAAUAAUUAAAUCAAUACAUACUGGCAAGCGCACACAUACAAAUACAAAUUCAAAUACACACACAUAUAUAUAUGGUAUAGUACUUUUUAAAAAUAACACCCAUACUUUAAAAAGUAAAAACUAAAUUGAUGGUUAACCCAAUUCCAGUAACUUUCUAAACCUUCACUUAAAAAUUUCAUCGAACAGUUGAUAGGCGGGACAAGCAAUCUCCAUCUAUGCUUGAGGUUGAUAGUCUCCCAACAUAAACCUCAAAAGACAUUUGUGCUUCAUAAAUAAAGAAAAUGAAUGAAUGACACUAAUAACAUAUAAAUAGUCAGAUUCAGUGACAAAACUUGUAUGUUUUUUACUUCCGUAUUAAAUCAAUACUUUUAGUUUCCUCUCACUAAUAACAUGGUUUGAAACAAAGUUUAUAAUUCAAGGACCAUGAGGAAAACCCUGUAAGGCUACGGUUAAGAAACUAAACUUUGUAACAUCAUAAUACACCAGAUUUAAACUUUGGUUUAACUUUUAACCCUGGCUAGAGGUCUAAAUGACAUAAUUUUACGCCUAAAAUUGCAAGCUUUACUUUUUUUGUUAGCAUGUGGACUAUUCAGGAUCUCAUAUCCUGAUUCGUUACCUUCUCACUUACAAAAUAAGGGCCAGUUCUUUACCUUCUUCAGUGGUAUGUUGUCACAGAAUAUGCCCCGGCCUAGAGGUGUUGAUGCUGCUGGUUUGUUACUGUGUGAGUUAGAACUUCA
This 2361-nucleotide long non-coding RNA is filed under the name Panax ginseng (ginseng). RNAcentral describes it as "long non-coding RNA (PGIN_LNC000984)". Lineage: Eukaryota; Viridiplantae; Streptophyta; Magnoliopsida; Apiales; Araliaceae. The record is from RNAcentral.